Molecule: ribosomal RNA, 366 nt
Filed under: uncultured organism
Description: bacterial SSU rRNA
Rfam family: Bacterial small subunit ribosomal RNA
Source: RNAcentral
CGGAGGAUCCAAGCGUUAUCCGGAAUCAUUGGGUUUAAAGGGUCCGUAGGCGGUUUGAUAAGUCAGUGGUGAAAGCCCAUCGCUCAACGAUGGAACGGCCAUUGAUACUGUCAGACUUGAAUUACUGGGAAGUAACUAGAAUAUGUAGUGUAGCGGUGAAAUGCUUAGGUAUUACACGGAAUACCAAUUGCGAAGGCAGGUUACUACCAGUGGAUUGACGCUGAUGGACGAAAGCGUGGGGAGCGAACAGGAUUAGAUACCCUGGUAGUCCACGCCGUAAACGAUGGAUACUAGCUGUUGGGCGCAAGUUCAGUGGCUAAGCGAAAGUGAUAAGUAUCCCACCUGGGGAGUACGUUCGCAAGAAUG